RNAcentral lists this long non-coding RNA (1270 nucleotides) under Gallus gallus (chicken). RNAcentral's name for it is "long non-coding RNA NONGGAT003438". The record is from RNAcentral. Lineage: Eukaryota; Metazoa; Chordata; Aves; Galliformes; Phasianidae.
AGCGGGGGUCAGCAAGUGUUGGAAGUGAUUCUGAACUUCUGGCAGAACAAUCUCCUGGAACUAAAACCAAGAAUGCCUUUAUCCUCAGCAACCUGCCGGGAGAUGUUCCACAGCCAGCUUUCUCCACAAGAGCCAGGUUACAGUGUCUGUAUAUGACAGCAACUGAAGCAAAAGCUUUUGUCUUUUAAAACAGAGUAGUUCACGUACAGCACAGUAGACUCCAACCUGAAACCAUUUAAUAUCAGACUCUGAGCAAAAAGCCAUUUGUAACAGAGGAGCCAUAAACCAUGAUAUUAUUUGCCACAUACCAGCGAGAUGGUGGGUGCAGAUGUUCCUACGGCACAUUUAAUUAGAACUGGGACAAAUAUAUUAGAGAAAUUAGGAUUUCUUCAGCAAGGAUCUAGCUCUACAUGCUGAUCUCUUUCAACUACCAGGUAUUUAAUACAUCUGUACCACUUUUCACCCAUGAAACCUUUCCGUUCGGCAACCUCACUGCAUCCCUAUCUUACCAGAGGAGUAAAGACCAUUGUCCCACUUGGCAGAUGGGUGGUUUCACUGAAGUUUCCCAUUACUUGCCUACGUGUGGAGUUGGGGUCAGUACUAGGAAUAAAGUCCAGGAGUCCUGACUCCUAGCCCUCUCCCAUCAGCCCCGUUCUUCUGAGCCUGCUUUACCUACCUAUCAGGAACUUUGCGGGCAACUACAUAGACAGAGAACAGAUUGCCCCCAAAUGGUGUCUUCAAUCACUCAACUUUUAUCGCUGAGAGACAGUAGCUUCCCUCCCUGCCUCCUUGAAAAGCUUUUAAAAUAAACACAGGUCUGUUCAUACCAUUUAUGGAUCAGUGAAAGGAAGAAAGCAGUGGAUUGACAACAGUAACAUGGAAGGCAUCAUUUAUUUUUCUUACCUGCUAUAAGAGGUCUGAAUUCUGACUUCAUUUAGUUGAGCACAAAGCCAAUGAUGUGUCAGGCUGGACUACUUGCUCUGCCUUGUCUUCUUUUUAAGCUGUGGACAAGACUGGAAGUUAAUACAACAGAGAGAGACCAAGGCACAACUACAGCUGUCUCACUUGUGUACCACUCAAUGCAGAUGUUUUCAAAUCUGCCCAUUUGCCCGUAUGCAAGUGCUUAAUUUCGGUACACACAAAAAUGCUCAUGCAGGAAUGUAUCCCCUCCACACCCCAAAGUAUGUACACACAAAUUCAGCAGAUUAUGAGAUUAGAAUGUGCCCAUCUGAACGUCUAUCUUUUGAGGGUCUGUCCAUUUGCUUUUUGC